Molecule: long non-coding RNA, 3282 nt
Organism: Oncorhynchus keta (chum salmon)
Lineage: Eukaryota; Metazoa; Chordata; Actinopteri; Salmoniformes; Salmonidae
Exons: 19
Source: RefSeq, a predicted model, not a curated record
ACAAGAGAGAGAGAGAGAACAAGAGAGAGAGAACAAGAGAGAGAGAGAGAGAGAGAGAGGGGGGAACGCUACACCCUCCCAGCAGCUGUCUCUGAUCCAACAUCUGUGUGUGCCGCUUCUCCUGUUCUCUCCAUCCAUCCUUUUGACUCGCUCCUCAAGCCAAUUAGAUCAUGAACAUGCUGUGUGCUUGUUGCUAGGGGGGGAAGAGAACCAAGAAGAGUGGAACAUCCGAUACUUUGUUGCUAAGCCUCCAGUGACAGAAGAAGAAAGAGUGCAAGAGAACAACUGAGAGGGACUGAGAGAGAGAGCAAAGGAUAAAGAGAACAAGAGAAGACAUCAGUCAGCUACAGUAUGAACCAGUCCAGCCAGGACCCGAGUGGAGUGGGAACAGCAGACCCCGAUGAGGAAUCUCCCAACAUGAUCAUCUACAGAAAGAUUGAGGAGAUAGUGACCCGUAUUCAGGAUGAGACUGAGGGCGUUCCCAUCAGAACUGUCAAGAGCUUCCUGACCAAGAUACCCAGCGUCGUCACAGGUGCAGACAUAGUGCAGUGGCUGAUGAAGAACCUAGCCAUUGAGGAUCCUGCUGAGGCGAUGCACAUCGGGAGUCUGAUUGCUGCUCAGGGAUAUUUCUUCCCCAUCUCUGAUCACGUCCUGUCACUCAAAGAUGAUGGAUCCUUCUAUCGCUUCCAGGCUCCAUAUUUCUGGCCUUCUAACUGCUGGGAACCAGAGAACACAGACUAUGCUAUCUAUCUGUGCAAGAGGACCAUGCAGAACAAGACUCGUUUGGAGCUGGCUGAUUAUGAGGCGGAGAACCUAGCCAGACUGCAGAGAGCCUUCACUAGGAAGUGGGAGUUUAUCUUCAUGCAGGCCGAGGCUCAAGUCAAGAUCGACAGGAAAAAGGAUAGAAUUGAGAGGAAGAUUCUAGAUAGUCAAGAAAGAGCUUUCUGGGAUGUCCAUAGACCUGUGCCAGGUUGUGUGAACACCACAGAGAUGGACAUCAGGAAAUGCAGACGCAUGAGGAACCCACAGAGAGUCAAGAAGUCAGUGUAUGGUCUGAUAGACGAGGGUCAGUCUCAGAGCCCUGUACACACACCAUCACAAAUAGCCAGAAAAGGCACCAAAGCGGACGUGGAGAAAGAGAUUCUGUUUCUUAACAGCCAGUUGGACCGACACUGUAUAAAGGUUUCUAAAGUUGCUGAGAGUCUAAUGAGUUACACAGAGCAGUACCAGGAGUAUGACCCGUUUGUGAUGUCACCAGAACCUUCCAACCCCUGGACCAGUGACGACCUUUCAUUCUGGGACCUGGAAGCCAGUAAGGACCCCAGUCAACAGAGGGUGAGGAAGUGGGGUUUCUCUCUAGAUGAAGCUCUGAAGGAUCCGGCAGGACGAGACCAGUUCCUCAAGUUCCUGGAAUCAGAGUUCAGCUCAGAGAACCUACAGUUCUGGUUGGCGGUGCAGGAUCUGAAGAGGCAGCCCCUGGAGAACGUGGCAGAACGGGCUCAGGAGAUCUGGACAGAGUUUCUGGCAGAAGGCGCUUCCAGCUCCAUCAACCUGGACUCACACAGCUACGAACGCACCAGUGCCAACCUUAAAGACCCGGGACGAUACAGCUACGAAGACGCUCAGGACCACAUCUAUAAGCUCAUGAAGAGUGACAGCUACACACGGUACCUGCGCUCCAACGCUUACCAGGAGCUGCUGAUGGCCUGGAAGAAGCCUGAGACGGAGCAGCAGCAGGGAAGACGCACCUCUCUGGAGAAGUUUACACGCAGCGUGGGCAAGUCACUGACAGGCAAACGGCUGACAGGCCUGAUGCAGUCGUCCUGACCAGGCCUGGGGCUGGAGUAAGACAGCUAUGCCCAGAGGAUCUGCUCUGCUGUGGGAAGAGGGCUGGAUGUUGAUGCUGAGAGGCCUAACUGGGGCCUGGACACGUCACCUUCAUAACUGACUCCAGAUCAGUUCCCUGAGCUCCAGUGGAGGACAGACAGCAUGCAAUAGGUCACCUAGAUCUGAUACGGGGACAGUGCUGUCUUUGUCUGUUUCUCAAAUGUCACUCUAUUCCCUAUAUAGUGUACUACUUUUGACCAGAGCCCUAUUUUGACUAGUUUGUCCAUAGGGCUCUGGUCAAAAGGUGUGCACUAUAAAGGGAAUAGGUUGCCAUUUGGGAGGUACAUAUUGUGUAGUUUAUCAACAUAUAACUCUGCCUGCUACUCUCUGUCUCACUUAGGUUCCUUUAAUCGAUUCUAGAACCAAAUGGAAUGUCAUAUAACUCUGCCUGCUACUCUCUGUCUCACUUAGGUUCCUUUAAUCGAUUCUAGAACCAAAUGGAAUGUCAUAUAACUCUAUCCAAUACACUCUGUCUCACUUAGGUUCCUUUAAUCGAUUCUAGAACCAAAUGGAAUGUCAUAUAACUCUAUCCAAUACACUCUGUCUCACUUAGGUUCCUUUAAUCGAUUCUAGAACCAAAUGGAAUGUCAUAUAACUCUAUCCAAUACACUCUGUCUCACUUAGGUUCCUUUAAUCGAUUCUAGAACCAAAUGGAAUGUCAUAUAACUCUAUCCAAUACACUCUGUCUCACUUAGGUUCCUUUAAUCGAUUCUAGAACCAAAUGGAAUGUCAUAUAACUCUAUCCAAUACACUCUGUCUCACUUAGGUUCCUUUAGUCGAUUCUAGAACCAAAUGGAAUGUCAUAUAACUCUAUCCAAUACACUCUGUCUCACUUAGGUUCCUUUAAUCGAUUCUAGAACCAAAUGGAAUGUCAUGUAACUCUAUCCAAUACACUCUGUCUCACUUAGGUUCCUUUAAUCGAUUCUAGAACCAAAUGGAAUGUCAUGUAACUCUAUCCAAUACACUCUGUCUCACUUAGGUUCCUUUAGUCGAUUCUAGAACCAAAUGGAAUGUCAUAUAACUCUAUCCAAUACACUCUGUCUCACUUAGGUUCCUUUAGUCGAUUCUAGAACCAAAUGGAAUGUCAUAUAACUCUAUCCAAUACACUCUGUCUCACUUAGGUUCCUUUAGUCGAUUCUAGAACCAAAUGGAAUGUCAUAUAACUCUAUCCAAUACACUCUGUCUCACUUAGGUUCCUUUAAUCGAUUCUAGAACCAAAUGGAAUGUCAUAUAACUCUGCCUGCUUCUCUCUGUCUCACUUAGGUUCCUUUAAUCGAUUCUAGAACCAAAUAGAAUGUCAGACUUGUUCUACUCUAGCUCGGCUUAUAUUACUACAGUAUAAUAGCUCAUUGUAACGAUUACACAACUCUUUUGUUCAAUCACAGAAACAUUAAA